Dendronephthya gigantea is the source of this 400-nucleotide long non-coding RNA. RefSeq lists it as uncharacterized. The record is from RefSeq and is a predicted model, not a curated record. Lineage: Eukaryota; Metazoa; Cnidaria; Anthozoa; Malacalcyonacea; Nephtheidae. The transcript is spliced from 4 exons.
UAGAAAAUGUUUGUAUAACCCUAACCAACUCCAUAACAAGCUAAACAUCCUUGGACAAUUGAAGUCAAGACUGCAUGCAUGUGCAUUUUAAGCUAUAACUUGCAACAAUGAAAUCUGUUUGUGUGUUUGUGUUGUUGUUGAUUUUCUCUGCAACAUUGUCAUCCGCAAAAAUGAGAGCUUCGGACCGUUCUCGCGCUGUAGACAAAAGUCGAUUUGUUGAAUGUCCCGCAGACCAGUGUGAUCCACCCUGUUCUCCACCUAGCCUGAGCAUGUGUGUGUACAAACCUAUGAUCAGAGGAUGUAGAUGCAUAUAUCUCCCUAAAUGAUUCCUGAACAUCAUUUUCAUUCUCAAUAUAAAAUUAUACUAAAUUUGUAUGGUUUAAUAUUAUUGCUAUAAAAA